Molecule: transfer RNA, 69 nt
Filed under: Ictidomys tridecemlineatus (thirteen-lined ground squirrel)
Lineage: Eukaryota; Metazoa; Chordata; Mammalia; Rodentia; Sciuridae
Description: Spermophilus tridecemlineatus (thirteen-lined ground squirrel) tRNA
Rfam family: tRNA
About the family: Transfer RNA (tRNA) molecules are approximately 80 nucleotides in length. Their secondary structure includes four short double-helical elements and three loops (D, anti-codon, and T loops).
Source: Rfam by way of RNAcentral
GGGGUUGUGGCUCAGUGGUAGAGCGCUUGCCUAGCAUGUAUGAGGCACUGGGUUUGAAUCUUAGCACCA